AUUGAACGCUGGCGGAAUGCUUUACACAUGCAAGUCGAACGGUAGAGGGGGCAACCCCUCGAGAGUGGCGAACGGGUGAGUAAUAUAUCGGAACGUGCCCAGUCGUGGGGGAUAACGUAGCGAAAGUUACGCUAAUACCGCAUACGAUCUAAGGAUGAAAGCGGGGGAUCGCAAGACCUCGCGCGAUUGGAGCGGCCGAUAUCAGAUUAGGUAGUUGGUGGGGUAAAGGCUCACCAAGCCAACGAUCUGUAGCUGGUCUGAGAGGACGACCAGCCACACUGGAACUAAGACACGGUCCAGAAUCCUACGGGAGGCAGCAGUGGGGAAUUUUGGACAAUGGACGCAAGUCUGAUCCAGCCAUUCCGCGUGCAGGAUGAAGGCCCUCGGGUUGUAAACUGCUUUUGUACGGAACGAAAAGGUCUCUCUUAAUACGGGGGACUCAUGACGGUACCGUAAGAAUAAGCACCGGCUAACUACGUGCCAGCCGCCGCCGUAA
This 496-nucleotide ribosomal RNA is filed under the name uncultured bacterium. Its description in RNAcentral is "partial 16S ribosomal RNA". It matches the Rfam family "Bacterial small subunit ribosomal RNA", at positions 30 to 523 of the family's 1533-position model. The record is from RNAcentral.